GGAUGAAUACAGUCUCGACCUUUGUAGCGAAAUCAACCAGCUAAAUGAAUACCUUCCUCUCUACGCCUUUAUCAAUACCAACUCCACGCUGGACGUUAGCGUUCACGAUAUGCGCAUGGCGCUGUGGUUUUUUGAGUAUGCGUUGGGGCUGGCUGAAGAUAUCGCGACGCGCAUUCAUCAAUAUACAAACGAAUAUCUCGAUAAUAUUACGCCGCCGUUUACCAAAGCGCUGUUUACCUACGCCAAAGAAGGAAAAUAUACCUUUUGUACGCCGGGUCAUAUGGCGGGAACGGCGUAUCAGAAAAGCCCGCCAGGCUGUCUGUUUUAUGACUUUUUUGGCGGCAAUACCUUAAAAGCUGAUGUGUCGAUUUCGGUGACUGAGCUGGGAUCGCUGCUGGAUCACACCGGGCCGCAUCUGGAAGCGGAAGAGUAUAUCGCCCGUACUUUUGGCGCCGAGCAGAGCUAUAUGG
This 470-nucleotide unclassified non-coding RNA is filed under the name uncultured fungus. Its description in RNAcentral is "partial internal transcribed spacer 1". Lineage: Eukaryota; Fungi. The record is from RNAcentral.